UAACUGCGAGUGAAGCGGGAAAAGCUCAAAUUUAAAAUCUGGCGGUUUUGCCGUCCGAGUUGUAAUCUGGAGAAGCGUUUUCCGCGUCGGACCGUGUACAAGUCUCUUGGAACAGAGCGUCAUAGAGGGUGAGAAUCCCGUCCAUGACACGGACUCCCGGUGCUUUGUGAUACGCUCUCGAAGAGUCGAGUUGUUUGGGAAUGCAGCUCAAAAUGGGUGGUAAAUUCCAUCUAAAGCUAAAUAUUGGCGAGAGACCGAUAGCGAACAAGUACCGUGAGGGAAAGAUGAAAAGCACUUUGGAAAGAGAGUUAAACAGUACGUGAAAUUGUUGAAAGGGAAACGCUUGAAGUCAGUCGCGUCUUACGGGACUCAGCCUUGCCUCGGCUUGGUGUACUUCCUGUAGGACGGGUCAACAUCGAUUUUGACCGGUGGACAAAGGGGAUGGGAAUGUGGCAAUCUUCGGGUUGUGUUAUAGCCCUCUUCCAUAUACAUCGGUUGGGAUCGAGGACCGCAGCGCGCCUUUAUGGCCGGGGGCUUGCCCCACGUACCGCGCUUAGGAUGUUGGCAUAAUGGCUUUAAGCGACCCGUCUUGAAACACGGACCAAGGAGUCUAACAUGCUUGCGAGUGUUAGGGUGGAAAACCCUUGCGCGUAAUGAAAGUGAAAGUUGAGAGCCUUCUUUUGGAGGUGCAUCGACGCCCGGCCCUGAAGUUCUCUGACGGUGCUGCGGUAGAGCACGUAUGUUGGGACCCGAAAGAUGGUGAACUAUGCCUGAAUAGGGCGAAGCCAGAGGAAACUCUGGUGGAGGCUCGUAGCGAUUCUGACGUGCAAAUCGAUCGUCAAAUUUGGG
This 849-nucleotide ribosomal RNA is filed under the name Coniferiporia weirii. RNAcentral describes it as "partial large subunit ribosomal RNA". It matches the Rfam family "Eukaryotic large subunit ribosomal RNA", at positions 84 to 915 of the family's 3401-position model. Lineage: Eukaryota; Fungi; Basidiomycota; Agaricomycetes; Hymenochaetales; Hymenochaetaceae. The record is from RNAcentral.